Molecule: ribosomal RNA, 401 nt
Filed under: uncultured bacterium
Lineage: Bacteria
Description: bacterial SSU rRNA
Rfam family: Bacterial small subunit ribosomal RNA
Source: RNAcentral
UCGGGAAUUUUGGGCAAUGGGCGAAAGCCUGACCCAGCAACGCCGCGUGAGGGAUGAAGUAUUUCGGUAUGUAAACCUCGAAAGAAUGGGAAGAAUAAAUGACGGUACCAUUUAUAAGCUCCGGCUAACUACGUGCCAGCAGCCGCGGUAAUACGUAGGGAGCAAGCGUUGUUCGGAUUUACUGGGCGUAAAGGGCGCGUAGGCGGCGCGGUAAGUCACUUGUGAAAUCUCUGAGCUUAACUCAGAACGGCCAAGUGAUACUGCUGUGCUAGAGUGCGGAAGAGGCGACCGGAAUUCUUGGUGUAGCGGUGAAAUGCGUAGAUAUCAAGAGGAACACCUGAGGCGAAGGCGGGUUGCUGGGCCGACACUGACGCUGAUGCGCGAAAGCCAGGGGAGCAAAC